This is a non-coding RNA of Taeniopygia guttata (zebra finch), 6580 nucleotides long. Lineage: Eukaryota; Metazoa; Chordata; Aves; Passeriformes; Estrildidae. The record is from RefSeq and is a predicted model, not a curated record.
UGGGGCUGGGUGCGCUCUGCUGCCUCCUGGACUGCAGGGUGCGGGUUUCUCACCAGCGUUCUCGCCUUUUAAAAUGAGUAUUAGAUUUAAGAUCGCUACUGCCUGUCCGCUAACAGAAGCUGCUAUAAAUUUAGCGCAGAAAUGCCGCACCGUUGCUAACCUGUAUUUCGUUUUUAAUUUCAACAUGUGUUUCUAGCAGUCAUUUAUGGCAUUUUUCUCGUGCAGAACUCUCACUUCUUUGAGAUAGUCAUAAAAUCUGCAGACAUCCCUAGGGCUAGAAUCUGAAUCUGGGUGUCGUUGCUCCCCAGACUUUGGAUAAGACACUCGAAAUCGUGAAGUGGCUUUUAACUCUUGUUUAUUGUCUUUUUACAGAUUCACAGCCUGUUCUGAGUUGGAAGGGAUCCACAAGGAUCCUCGACUCCAGCUCUUAAGUAAAUGUCCCGUAUGGGGAUGCACCCACUACCUUGGCGUUACCAGCUUCAUGUUCUAACCAACUGCAACUCGAGGAAAUUAACAAAUCUAACUACACAUAUCAGUGUGUUCUGUCAAUGAACCCACACAUCACCAUGAAGACAUCACAACAUCCCUGCUGUAUGCUGAUCUGCUUGAGCAUUUUGAAGCCCGUAUUUCCUGGUCUGGUGGAAAUAUUUGUAGUGGAGAUAUUUAAGUGCAAGCUCUGCCAUUUCACAAGCAGGAUCAAAAGUAAGAUCAGGAGACACCUGGCUCAAAUCCGUGAAACUAAUAUGGCAUGUCAAAUUUCAGGCUGCCCUAAAAUGGACCAAGGUAAAAAUUAGUUAUAUAGCAUUGGAGAUGAAAAGAAUGAGAAGAAAGAAAAUAGUGGAGAAAAUUACUCUCUUGUUGCCUGUGUAUCAGAUGCCUUAAAAUAAAAGUCCUUGCUCUUGUGACAUGAGCUCAAGCAUAAUCCUCAUGCAUCUCACUCCUGUGAAAUGAACACCUGGUUUGGAGAAGUAGCAGCUUAUUUUCAACUUGAGGAACCUUGCAGUGCUGACUUCUCUUUUCUUGGAAGAGAAGGGACAGAUAAACCCAGUCUAUGCCUCUCAGCAUCUGUCACAUUUCCAGUGUUAGAACCCAGACAUUUGCUGGGGAAAUUAAAAGCCCCUAAGGCUCAAUCAAGGUGUAAACAUCAUAGAAAAAUCAGUUGAAAUCUGGAUCUAAAGGCUCAACUCACCCUAUAGAAGAUGCUUAUGCCUCAGAAGCUGGGUUCUGAGAAAAAGCAUAAUUUAUUCAUGUGUGGAAUGUAGCCCUAGAGCCGCAAGAUGCUGAGGAAAUCCAUGUAACAAGUCAUGUGGAUCAUGGCUUUAAAUGUGCUUAUUGUCACAUGACUGAGUAGAUCUUAAUGGAAAAUUAUUGAAAAUUACACAUGUGGCCUACCAGUGCUCCAUCUGUGAAAGUGCUUUUAUAUCACUUGAUAAAGUGCCUGGAAAGUGCAUAGAAACAGCCAUGAGAGGAAAUCUCAUCUCAGUGCACAUCAUCUGAAACUGAGCUGAUAAGCAGUCUUCAUAUAGCCUGCUUGGCAUUAUCAGGAUAUGGUUAUGUGCCCACACAGUGAUUUUACCAGUAAGUCAGGUUUUAUUUUUUGCUCUCAUCCAGUUGCUUCCUCAGCUUAAACUUAUUGCUGCAAAUAACUUUGGUCAAUGCAAAAUGUAUGGGAGCCUUUCAGUAUGAACUGUAAAUGCUAUCAUCAGAAAUCUUGAAUGACAGUGCACAAAGGUAGUGUGGGCAUUUUACUGUUUGACCACUCAGUAUUGCAGGUGGUUGCAGUGAUUAAUUGAUUUUAGCAAGGUUUCCCUGGCUGCUGCUGGCGUAUAAACCAAGUUCUUGCUUUGUAGGUUGAACUACUGCUUUGGUUCUGACUGCUCAGAACCAAAGCAAGUGAAAGAACCUGGCCAAGGGAAAGAACAGGUGAUUGUGAAAUAAGGUGAUGGCUCAUGGGUGUGCCCUGGAGUUUGUGGCAGUGGUCAGAUUAACAUAUUUGCUGUGAUUUUAAGCUACUGUAACAAACCAUGGCUUUUAAUACAACUAAGGAAAGGAUCAAGGUCUGCAAGCAUCUGUGCAAGCACAGACCCUUCAGAGUUACUCGCUUCAGCUCCUUCAUAACAUCCUUACAUGUGUUAGUGGUGUCUUGACCGAACCAUCCUGGUGCACACCAAAUUGGAGAGUCAGGUUAAAAAAAACCCCAAACAACACAACAAAUGAACAAACAAAAACCAAUUCAAACAAAUGACUUUUCUUGAGAAGCUUUAUUUUGUGUGUUUCACAAACAUAGCACAGAAUGAGGAGCAAGGUUUAUUUCCUCUACAACAUUGUCUUUCAUCACCUGAAAGUUUCAUAUCUCAGGUUUUUAAGUCUUUCCAUCACUGAUGGUAUAAUAAAGUAUUGGUAUAGUGUAUUUUGGGUUUCUUUUUGAAUUAGUUUACUUCACUUAUUUCUUAAAUGGCAAUCCAAAGAAGAAUUCAAGGAGCAUAUGGUAAAUUACAGAACUGCUACCACUCCUUUUUCUUCAUUUCGGGAUCAGGUAUUCAAAAUCAGACAUCAAUUGAGUGGACAUCACAAACAAAUCCAUCAUGAAGAAACAACAAAUCCACAAAUGAAAGAGAUGAAGAGAAGAACAAAGCCUGAAGAUAACCCUGUGUGUUUCAACACAAAAGGAACUUGAAAGAAGGAGUCAAGUUAAUUUAAAUGCAGUAUGUACAGUAGGUAUGAUCUGUAUUAUAGCAAAACUUGCUGUUUUGUUUCUUAAUUGCAGAAUAUUUGGUAAUCUGGCAUAUCCAUUUAUUUGCUUAUUCACUUGCAUAUUUUUGCAAUGAAGUUACUCUUAGCAUGAACAAAAAUAAAAAUAGCUGCCUCCUACUUGGUUUGUGAUAGUACCAGUCUUUGGAAUAAAUUAAGUAUGUGCUGAUCAAAAGGUGCAGCUAAGGUUUUCUGCUGUAGUUUGUUACAGGCAAUAACAAAGUACAGCCACUGAAAUAGGCUCUUUCAGGAGCCAAGAGAAAUGCUGUGAUACUUCUUGGAAUUCUGCAAGUUAACUAGGUGACAAAACAGCUUCCUUUGGGUCAUGGCUGCACUUUUAAGAGGAAUAUUAACUGAAGCACCAAUUUUAUCAGUUAGUGGAAAAUUCUACUUAUCUGCACUUGUAAGAAUUAACACCAAGACUCUGUCUUACCUGAAGUGCACCCUUUCUUCCAAAGAGAUUUUGAGAAGGCAUUUGAUACUUUCCUGUUAUUCAGAAAAGAUCUCUUUUUCCUUGAUAAAGAAGAUAAUAAUCUCUAGCAGCCCUCUGUCCAUGAGUUGACAUUACAAAAUAUUCUGAUAGCUUUUCUAAGAUUUAGAUAAUAUUAGAUAAGCUUGAGUACAUCUCUUUCUCUAAGUUUCUUGUAAGUAUGUACAUUUGGCUUGGGAUGUUUCCUCCUUUUGUUGUUGUUUAUGGCCAUACAUGUCUGUUACAUUGUCAGAAAACAUUUUUACAAUAGUUUAACUAGAGAGGUCACUUUCUUACUUUCACAGUUGUGUUACAUAAAUUAAUUCAAAUCAUCAAAGCUUUUCCCCCAAAGGCUUCUUUAUCCCAAUGUUUUCUAGGACUGUAACAAUUGUCUCUACUGAAUCUGGCUUUCCUCGUUUGAAGUUGUUAUUGCUCACAUGGAAAGAAAUAAAUAUAUGUUUUAGUAGCUCUCUGAAAUUAGUAUAAUAAAAAUAAAGCAAAAAUGGAGUUUGGGUUCAGCUAGUCAAAGGCCUAAUUGCUUGAAGUGAGCUAGAGCAUUUUUGUUAGUAAGUAGGGAGCAGACCAAUGUGCUGAUGAUGUGCCUUGCACAUAGGCAUCUGUCUUCUGGACUUUUUUAAAAUCAAGUAGUCAGUUAACAAAACUUAUCUCUGUUUCAAGUGGCAGAACUAUAAUAUUAGGCACUUUAAAUUGUUACAUCAUUACAACAGUUACUUGUGGAGUUACACUGGAGUAUGACAAUCCAAAUUUCAUCUGAGGUUAUAUUAGAAAUGUGACAUCUGCUGUAUGCAAUACAACUCUGUUUUGAAGGAAAAAUGAGCUUUUAUGGACUGGGUCUCUGGAGCUCUCCCUGGAAGAGGGAGAUUAAGAACUUGAACUUUUCAUACCUACUUCUGACUCAAGUUUUGCUUGACUUUUGUACAGCAAAACAAACUUAAUGUCAACACUGUUCAUUUCCUACAGUCCCCCUGAGGUGCAAACUCAUAAAACUGGCACUGGCCGUCGUCCCAGCUUGCAACUGUCCCAUAAUUCUUUCCACUAAAGGCCCUGUCCCAACAGCAGAACAGGAUCUGUUGGGAAUCACAGCCAGCUCGGUGGUGUGUCCUGCUGCACAGAUGGAAUAGCUGAUGGCAGAAGGGUGUAAGAAUAACCCUGCUGUGCUGACUGUGACUGAGAGCACGGGCUGUGCUCUGCACGGAGCUCCAGAGUGCCAGAACAAGCUGCCUCAUUUUCUCUUUGUCCCACAAUUGCCUCUCGUUAUGCCCAGAUUAGCAGAUGCACAUGGGAAGUAUAUUUUAGAGUCUGUGGAUAUUGCAAAACUUCAAGGAAUUCCUUUAAACUGAGAAAUAUCUGCUGUCAGGAGGUUACCAGCAAAGUGUUGGUAGCAGGACCUGGAAAUCCAGCUGUGCUCCUGGCCGUGCUGUGGCACUUUUGUUUGCUUUCCUCCAGGAGGGGGCAGCAGCUGAACAACAUCAGGGGCUGGUUUUCACUUUUCAAAAGCUUUUCCAGUGGCCCCCUCUGCCUGUGAAUCCAGCAGGGGCUCCAUACCGAUGGGAGAGUUUAAAAUUAUAAUUCCUGCCUGUUUGCUACAAAGAUAGCUGGAAUGUACGAAUCGGAAGUCUUCAUUCUGUUCAGUAUUAAGCAGUAAAAUUUAUUCAGUAAAAUCUAUCUCAAGUUUUUAGAAAGAGCAGUUCAAUAUUGAUACUUAAGAUUUUAUGACUAUAGCAGUAGGUGUGUAUAUAUUUUAAAGGAUAAAAUAACCAAGCAACCCAACCCAUUAUUAAUGUCACCUAAGUCUUACUUAACAUCUUUCAUUUUCUAUCAGGUUGCAUAUUGCAAUUCAAAAUAAUAGCCUUUUUUCUCCCAUCAGAAAAUAAAACUAAGAAUACACUAAAUCUAAUGAUGGUUUUCAUUCGUGUGUAAUUAAUGUGCUCAUGUACUUUCUUUGCUCAUGCAUUUUGCUGACAGAGCAUGGGAGUUGAAGUCCUCAAUUCACAGGCAGUGCUAAUGAUGCUAAACAAUAUAGCCAAAUUUUACUGCCCUUUUUCAGCCACAAAGUGCAGGUUUAUAAUCUAAAACUUUCUGGAGGUGUACCAUAUUACUGAUUGGGAGUAUAGUGGGGUCUUUUUUAAAACUGUGGGGAAAAUGCUGAUUGUUACCCACCAUUGUGAAUUUCUUGAAAGUGUGUGGCUGUAAUUUCUGUUUAAGUUACAGAUCAAGUAGUUAACAAAAAGCCACAGAGAGCAGUCAAGCCUUUUCAGCUGCUAAGUUUUAUCCAGUAGUUUAUAUAAAGAAAGAAAAACCAUAGUGGCUUCUGUGAGUAUCAGCAGCUAUAAUCAGGGUUCAGAAGCUAACUGGGAAGGAUGAAACUAAUUCCUAACAGGACUGAUUCACUGAUAAACUUGCCUUGAUGCAUCUCAUUAAAAUUGUGUUGUAAUGCAUGUGGGAUCUUUAUGGAGCCUAAAACUUUAUCAUGUGACUUGACUUUUUUUUUCUUUUGUGGCGAUUUUUCCUUUUCAAAGAUUACAAGUGUUUAAGAGAAGAGGAGGAAAUAAUUGCAAAGAUUUUUUCAGAAUGGCACAACUUGGCUUUCAGAGUUGCCUUUCAUCUUAAAUCUCAGUGUUUAAAUCACAGAUUUUUCUAUACAGGCCCCAUGGUUCUACUGAUUUCACUGAUUUAGCACCUUAUAUGCAUCAAACACUUCAACAACUGCCCUGAGUAUUUAAGUUCCCUCAUGAAAGUUCAGGGCUUUAAUGCUUUGAGCAAUGUAACCUUUAUUUUUCUAGUUCAGGAAAGAUCCAUGCAAAUAACUGAGGAUUAAAUUCCCUUUUUUCAUCUUUUUGUUUUGAAUACUGUUGCAUAAAAUAACUCUAUGAUUCACUCUUGCUUUGUGUAGUAAUUAGCAGGAAGAUUUUUACCUGUAGAAGUCUUGAGUAUAGUAUAAAUUAAUUCCAUACUAUUUUAAAAUACUUCAUUUUCUGAGUGUCUGGACUUGAAUUGCCUUCACAAAUAUGUAAUUAAAUUAGCUCUGAUUUCCUUAUAGAGUGUUUAAAGAAUGAGUUACCCUGUUUAUUGCAUCGAUAGAUGAAUGUAUUACAUAGUUUUGGGAAUAGUAUUUACUCAGUUAUUAAUUAUUUACAGUGUGUAUUGAAAGGACAUUGUUUCCUUUUGCUUGAAAGGUCAAUAAUCUGGAUAGAUGUGUAUGCACUUUUAAAACCUGCUAUUGGUUUUCACAGGAAACGGAUUUUUAAACUUCUAUGCUUGUAUUUCUCUCUUUGAAAUUAUUGUGUCUUAAAGAUGUGACUUUAAAGCAUUAAAGACUCGUGCUUGAAUUUGUGAACA